AAAAUCCCCUAUGUUAGGGUUGUUCGUCUCAGUUUGAAUUUAGAAUUUUCGCACUAAAGAAAGUUUAGUUUGGAACUAGCUUAUCAGUGUUUCUAGAAUUUUAGAACACUAGGCAAUUAUAGAUCAAUAAGGGUUCGCUUACUACUUGAAGGUUUAAUACCAGCAUGUAUAACUGAACAAGGCUAUCAAUGUCAAAGAUCG
Molecule: long non-coding RNA, 201 nt
Filed under: Panax ginseng (ginseng)
Lineage: Eukaryota; Viridiplantae; Streptophyta; Magnoliopsida; Apiales; Araliaceae
Description: long non-coding RNA (PGIN_LNC010696)
Source: RNAcentral